RNAcentral lists this ribosomal RNA (476 nucleotides) under uncultured bacterium. RNAcentral's name for it is "partial 16S ribosomal RNA". It matches the Rfam family "Bacterial small subunit ribosomal RNA", at positions 30 to 507 of the family's 1533-position model. The record is from RNAcentral.
UUGAACGCUGGCGGCAUGCCUUACACAUGCAAGUCGCACGGUAACAGGUUAAGCUGACGAGUGGCGAACGGGUGAGUAAUACAUCGGAACGUGCCCAGUAGUGGGGGAUAGCCCGGCGAAAGCCGGAUUAAUACCGCAUACGACCUAAGGGUGAAAGGGGGGGAUCGCAAGACCUCUCGCUAUUGGAGCGGCCGAUGUCAGAUUAGCUAGUUGGUGGGGUAAAAGCUCACCAAGGCGACGAUCUGUAGCUGGUCUGAGAGGACGACCAGCCACACUGGGACUGAGACACGGCCCAGACUCCUACGGGAGGCAGCAGUGGGGAAUUUUGGACAAUGGGCGCAAGCCUGAUCCAGCCAUGCCGCGUGCGGGAAGAAGGCCUUCGGGUUGUAAACCGCUUUUGUCAGGGAAGAAAUCCUUUGGGUUAAUACCUCGGGGGGAUGACGGUACCUGAAGAAUAAGCACCGGCUAACUACGUG